GCUGGGCACGGUGGCUGGUGCCUGUAAUCCAAGCUCCUGGGAGGCUGAGGCUGGUGGACGGCUUGAGCCCGGGGGUUCUGGGCUGCGGUGUGCUGUGCCGAGCGGGCGUCCGCGCUAAGGCCGGCAUCGAUAUGGUGUCCCUCGGGGAGCCGGGGGGCCCCAGGUCGCCUAAGGAGGGGUGAACCGGCCCAGGCCGGGAACGGAGCAGGCCAAAGCUCCCGUGCCGGUCAGUAGUGGGACGGCGCCUGUGAACAGUCCCCGUAGCACAGCCCGGGUGACAGAGCGGGACCCAGCCUCUU
Unclassified non-coding RNA from Apteryx owenii (little spotted kiwi), 299 nucleotides. It matches the Rfam family "Metazoan signal recognition particle RNA". From Rfam's summary of the family: The signal recognition particle (SRP) is a universally conserved ribonucleoprotein. It is involved in the co-translational targeting of proteins to membranes. Lineage: Eukaryota; Metazoa; Chordata; Aves; Apterygiformes; Apterygidae. The record is from Ensembl.